RNAcentral lists this long non-coding RNA (446 nucleotides) under Phoenix dactylifera (date palm). Its description in RNAcentral is "long non-coding RNA (PDAC_LNC019408)". The record is from RNAcentral. Lineage: Eukaryota; Viridiplantae; Streptophyta; Magnoliopsida; Arecales; Arecaceae.
GCAGUCUUCGGUCGAGGAGAGGGAGCGGCGAUGAGUUCUUACGGUGGGGCGGCGGUCCGUCGGCGAGCGGCGUCCUCCGUCUGGGGCAGUCAGAGAGAAGGGGCGGCAGGUCCUCGUGGCGAAGCGGCGAUCCGUCAGUUGGCGGCGUCCUCCGUCCGGGUGCCUGCACACGAACCGGUGGCCGGGUUUUCCGGCGCCGGCCCUCCGACGCUCAAGUCAGGGAGGGGGCAAAUAGUGUAGAAAGGGAGAUAAAUAAUGUCUGUACAGUGUAUCAAUCUUCCAACCCCCUCCUGAGAGGCCAAGGCUCCCUUUUAUAGGCGGGGGUCGGUUUACCUGCAGUGUAACAGGGCGAGGCCGUAGUACGGCUCGGCAUGUUGUUCAGGUCGGCGCAUGGUCAGGCGAAUCAUUGCUCUGAUGUCGGCGGUGAGGGCGUCGUAUAACCCGAA